GGCCCGUUAGCUCAACUGGUAGAGCAGCGGACUCUUAAUCCGCGGGUUGUAGGUUCGAGUCCUACACGGGUCA
This 73-nucleotide transfer RNA is filed under the name Candidatus Aminicenantes bacterium RBG_13_62_12. Its description in RNAcentral is "tRNA-Lys". It matches the Rfam family "tRNA". From Rfam's summary of the family: Transfer RNA (tRNA) molecules are approximately 80 nucleotides in length. Their secondary structure includes four short double-helical elements and three loops (D, anti-codon, and T loops). Further hydrogen bonds mediate the characteristic L-shaped molecular structure. tRNAs have two regions of fundamental functional importance: the anti-codon, which is responsible for specific mRNA codon recognition, and the 3' end, to which the tRNAs corresponding amino acid is attached (by aminoacyl-tRNA synthetases). tRNAs cope with the degeneracy of the genetic code in two manners: having more than one tRNA (with a specific anti-codon) for a particular amino acid; and 'wobble' base-pairing, i.e. permitting non-standard base-pairing at the 3rd anti-codon position. Lineage: Bacteria; Candidatus Aminicenantota. The record is from RNAcentral. RNAcentral also lists the same sequence under 1 other name.